Small nuclear RNA from Phodopus roborovskii (desert hamster), 105 nucleotides. The record is from RefSeq and is a predicted model, not a curated record. Lineage: Eukaryota; Metazoa; Chordata; Mammalia; Rodentia; Cricetidae.
GUGCCGGCUCGGGCAGCACAUGUACUAAAACUGAAGCAAUACAGACAAGAUUAGCACGGUCCUUGUGCUAGGGAAACACAAAUUCAUGAAGCAUUCUAUAUAUAG